ACAAGCGGUGGAGCAUGUGGUUUAAUUCGACGCAACGCGAAGAACCUUACCAGGGCUUGACAUCCCUUGAUGUCUGUAGAGAUACAGAGUUCAAACCUCGGGUUUGACAAGGAGACAGGUGGUGCAUGGUUGUCGUCAGCUCGUGUCGUGAGAUGUUGGGUUAAGUCCCGCAACGAGCGCAACCCCUACUUUUAGUUGCUAACAGGUGAAGCUGGGCACUCUAGACGAACUGCCGUUGACAAAACGGAGGAAGGUGGGAUGACGUCAAAUCAUCAUGCCCCUUAUGUUCUGGGCUACACACGUGCUACAAUGGCCGGUACAGACGGAGGCGAAGCCGCGAGGCGGAGCAAAUCCGAAAAAGCCGGUCUCAGUUCGGAUUGCAGGCUGCAAUUCGCCUGCAUGAAGUCGGAAUCGCUAGUAAUCGCAGGUCAGCAUACUGCGGUGAAUACGUUCCCGGGCCUU
RNAcentral lists this ribosomal RNA (462 nucleotides) under uncultured Pelotomaculum sp. RNAcentral's name for it is "bacterial SSU rRNA". It matches the Rfam family "Bacterial small subunit ribosomal RNA", at positions 925 to 1382 of the family's 1533-position model. Lineage: Bacteria; Bacillati; Bacillota; Clostridia; Eubacteriales; Desulfotomaculaceae. The record is from RNAcentral.